AUGGGGCCCGCGGCGCUUCGCACUUGCCCCUUCGCUUCUCUGCUAAGCCAAGUCCAGACGCGCCUUGGGCCCGGGGGCUACUGUCGGCGUUCUGGGAACGGGGGUACCCAGACUUGCUUGCCUGCGGCCUGCAGCGUGGCUCAGGGAGUGGCCCAGUACGGCCCAUCUUCAUCAACACACGUUCAAGACCCUCGCGAGGGGCCAAGCCUCGCGGGGCGGACGACAGGAGGCUUCCUCGGGCACGACCUCGUCAGGCUGGCUCGCGAGGAGGCGGAGAGAUCAAGGCGGGGUACCUCACGAGGUGCCCACGACGCAAGCCAUGACGACCGAGGCCAGGCGGGCUCCAAGCGGGUGCCGGCCUGCGCAGAGUCCUUGUUUCCUCUUUGGUGCAAAGGGGGCAAGCGCAGGCAAGAGUAUCAAGCAAAGGCAACCAUUUCGGUGCAACAAGACCAAGACCAGCAGGACAACAGGAUGAAGGUCAUCGUGGAGCCCAAGCCGGCGUCACCGUCAGGGUCUUUGGCAGGCGAGGACCGACUUUAG
This 540-nucleotide ribosomal RNA is filed under the name Triticum aestivum (bread wheat). RNAcentral's name for it is "partial small subunit ribosomal RNA". Lineage: Eukaryota; Viridiplantae; Streptophyta; Magnoliopsida; Poales; Poaceae. The record is from RNAcentral.